Molecule: long non-coding RNA, 1930 nt
Filed under: Solanum tuberosum (potato)
Lineage: Eukaryota; Viridiplantae; Streptophyta; Magnoliopsida; Solanales; Solanaceae
Description: long non-coding RNA (STUB_LNC008277)
Source: RNAcentral
UGGGGUUUUGGAGAUGAUAGAGUGUUGCAGGCCGUACCACUACCUCAUGAAAGUUGAGAGAUUAUUUCCAAAAGACCCUUGUCUCAAGAUAACUCUAUCUUACCUGAUCAUAAAAUUAUCACUGAGAAUUUUUCAACAUAUUAAAACUAAUUUUCAUAUUUGUAUGAAAGUAGUUAUUGAAAAUAUAAAUUGUACCUGUAUCUAAGGCAUAGGGUGCAUAAUAUACAGUACUUGACUCGUGGAAAUUAGGAUAAGAAUAUGAAUAAACUUAACAAGCUGACAAAAAGUAACAUACCAUAAUGUUCAAGAGGGGAAACAACAGGCGGCAAUGAAAUCGGUACGUACAAAAACUUUAUUUGCACUCAAGUUCUCAUGAGCUGAAUAAGUUAUAAAACCACUUGAUAUUGCUCCUGAUCAUAAGAAAAAGCUGCAGCAAUGGCUUAUCAUCAAGUCUUCAUCAAAUCAGUUUAUAAAUAUAUUCAGUUCAUGAAACAGGAAAAACAAAACCUCUGUACAUGUGAUUUUUGCUCCAUGCAAACACUUCUAAAUUAAAAUUAAAUUACUAAUGAAAAUGGAAAAAGGAAUAGACAAGGUUUGUCAAGAAAUUCAGCACAAAAGGUUAAUACAAAACUUUGCGCAAACAGCUUCUGUAUCUACGGAAGACAGUACAACAUAAAAAUUCAAAAUUAGAAACUACAUAUAUUUCAUUAUAGUUUCAACUCACUGUAAUAUCUAACUUGUAUUACACAUCUUCUCUACUAUAUAAUGAACAACAUUGUCUUAAAAGCACACCACUUGCACAUCCUUUUAUGAGUAAAUCCGUUAUACUUCUAAACCGUUAAACCAGAAAUUCAUUAGUUAUGUCCUGUUAGUUUACGCAGUCCUCGCCGAAAUAGGAUUCCCAUCAAGCAUAGCUUGAAUGAGUCCCAUAGCUCUUGACAUUAUUAGUGGAUAUUUUGAGGGCCAAGAUCUCCACCGGACUUCAUAAAACAAGUUAUCUUUUGCUUGGGUGUUUGCAAUUUUUUAAUUUCUUUCACUCGAAAUGCAUAGUGAAUUUGCUCUCUAUAGCAUUUUCUUUUGUUGCCUAAAUAAUCUUACUCUUUGUUUUUCAAUCAUAUAAUUUGUUAACCAUGCAACAUACUAAAUGUGUAUGUGUAGAACAAAGGUUCUUCUAUUUCAUAGUACAUAUUAGAUACACCAUUACAUCAAAAAUAAAGUUUUGUUUUGACCACACAAAUAUUUAUUUCUUAUCUAGUUCAUGGGUUUAGAAGCCUCCAAUUGAAAUAGAAUUAGUCAUCUUUCUCUUUAAAUUCAAAAGCAUCACUGCCUACCACUCUGGGUGCAAAAAAAAACUACUUAGUUUAGCUCUAGAAUGACAGAAAGGAUUAGCCAAAUUAUUCAAUAAUCACAAUCAUUCACCACCUUUAUUUUCAAUCAAAGAUACCACCAAAUAUCUUCUAAGUUUAAUAACACAAGCAUACAAAAAUAUUAAUAAAAGUAGAUAGAAAAUCAUGUAAAAUGAACCCUACUUAAAACAUAGAGAGUAAAUUUAUGAUCAGACAAACUCUGUGUUCCACAACUGCAAUUGAUGGUUAAGACUGCAGAAACAUACCUAGAUGAGCAGGAAAUAAGAAUGCUAGUUUCUUUGUGCAACUAUCGAUGACGACGAGCAGACAGGUUGAGAACAAUCAGAAAAUUAAUUUCUUUUCUUCUUCUUUUGUAGUUAACAAUAGAAUCCACCAACCAAAUAGUUCAAAACCAAAAUGGCUUAGUUUGAUGUAAAAUGGUCGCGAAAACUACAAUAGAUGAAAAAAAAAAAAAGAAUAGCAUACCCAUAUUCAACACACUGAAUCACAUCUCUAGGUUUUAGGGUAAUCUCCGGCCCUCAAUCUCCAUAGAUGUAAUUGAGGUGCUCGCUUACUGGGUCCUU